Non-coding RNA from Triticum aestivum (bread wheat), 125 nucleotides. The record is from Rfam. NCBI's taxonomy places the organism in Eukaryota, Viridiplantae, Streptophyta, Magnoliopsida, Poales, Poaceae.
UACGUACUCCUUUCGUCCGGAAAUACUUGUCACAGAAAUGCAUAAAAAUGGAUGUAUCUAGGACUAAAAUACGUCUAGAUACAUCCGGUCCUCCGACAAGUAUUUCUAAACGGAGGGAGUACUAC